UACGUGGGGGGCAAGCGUUGUUCGGAAUUAUUGGGCGUAAAGGGCGCGUAGGCGGCGCCACAAGUCACUUGUGAAAACUCUGGGCUCAACUCAGAGCCUGCAAGCGAAACUGUGGUGCUGGAGUAUGGGAGAGGUGCGUGGAAUUCCCGGUGUAGCGGUGAAAUGCGUAGAUAUGGGGAGGAACACCGGUGGCGAAGGCAGCGCACUGGACCAUAACUGACGCUGAGGCGCGAAAGCGAGGGGAGCAAACAGG
RNAcentral lists this ribosomal RNA (253 nucleotides) under uncultured bacterium. RNAcentral's name for it is "partial 16S ribosomal RNA". It matches the Rfam family "Bacterial small subunit ribosomal RNA", at positions 524 to 776 of the family's 1533-position model. The record is from RNAcentral.